GACGAACGCUGGCGGCGUGCUUAACACAUGCAAGUCGAGCGGUAAGGCCCUUUCGGGGGUACACGAGCGGCGAACGGGUGAGUAACACGUGGGUGACCUGCCCUCAGCUCUGGGAUAAGCCUGGGAAACUGGGUCUAAUACUGGAUAUGACUCCACGGUGCAUGUCGUGGGGUGGAAAGCCUUGUGCGGCUGAGGAUGGGCCCGCGGCCUAUCAGCUUGUUGGUGGGGUGANGGCCUACCAAGGCGACGACGGGUAGCUGGCCUGAGAGGGCGACCGGCCACACUGGGACUGAGACACGGCCCAGACUCCUACGGGAGGCAGCAGUGGGGAAUCUUGCGCAAUGGGCGAAAGCCUGACGCAGCGACGCCGCGUGAGGGAUGACGGCCUCGGUUGUAAC
RNAcentral lists this ribosomal RNA (398 nucleotides) under uncultured bacterium. RNAcentral's name for it is "bacterial SSU rRNA". It matches the Rfam family "Bacterial small subunit ribosomal RNA", at positions 28 to 429 of the family's 1533-position model. The record is from RNAcentral.